AUUGAACGCUGGCGGCAGGCCUAACACAUGCAAGUCGAGCGGACGUAGGGAGCUUGCUCCUGGAUUCAGCGGCAGACGGGUGAGUCAUGCCUAGGAAUCUGCCUUGUAGCGGGGGAUAACGUCCGGAAACGGGCGCUACUCCCGCAUACGUCCUGAGGGCGAAAGUGGGGGGUCUUCGGACCUCACGCUAUCAGAUGAGCCUGGGUCGGAUUCGCUAGUGGGUGGGGUAAAGGCCUAGCAAGGCGACGAUCCGUAACUGGUAUGAGAGGAAGAUCAGGCACAUUGUCACAGAGACAGGUCCCAGACUCUGGCGGGGGGAAGCAGUGGGAAAUAUUAGGCGAGGGAGCAGUGCCUGAUCCAGCCAAGCCGCGUGUGUGCUGAAGGUCUCAUGAUUGGAGAACGCUGUAAGUUGGGGGAUAGGAAAAUUAUUUAAUACCUGACUGUUUUGACGUUACCAACAGAAGAAGCACCGGCUAACUUCGUG
Molecule: ribosomal RNA, 484 nt
Filed under: uncultured bacterium
Lineage: Bacteria
Description: partial 16S ribosomal RNA
Rfam family: Bacterial small subunit ribosomal RNA
Source: RNAcentral